CGUAAACGAUGAGUGCUAAGUGUUGGAGGUUUCCCCUUCAGUGCUGCAGCAAACGCAUUAAGCACUCCGCUGGGGAGUACGACCGCAAGGUUGAAACUCAAAGGAAUUGACGGGGGCCCGCACAAGCGGUGGAGCAUGUGGUUUAAUUCGAAGCAACGCGAAGAACCUUACCAGGUCUUGACAUCCUUUGACCACUCUAGAGAUAGAGCUUUCCCUUCGGGGACAAAGUGACAGGUGGUGCAUGGUUGUCGUCAGCUCGUGUCGUGAGAUGUUGGGUUAAGUCCCGCAACGAGCGCAACCCUUAUUGUUAGUUGCCAUCAUUUAGUUGGGCACUCUAGCGAGACUGCCGGUGACAAACCGGAGGAAGGUGGGGAUGACGUCAAAUCAUCAUGCCUCUUAUGACCUGGGCUACACACGUGCUACAAUGGGAAGUACAACGAGUCGCUAGGCCGCGAGGUCAUGCAAAUCUCUUAAAGCUUCUCUCAGUUCGGAUUGUAGGCUGCAACUCGCCUACAUGAAGCCGGAAUCGCUAGUAAUCGCGGAUCAGCACGCCGCGGUGAAUACGUUCCCGGGCCUUGUACACACCGCCCGUCACACCACGAAAGUUUGUAACACCCGAAGUCGGUGAGGUAACCUUUUGGAGCCAGCCGCCUAAGGUGGGAUAGAUGAUUGGGGUGAAGUCGUAACAAGGUAACCA
Molecule: ribosomal RNA, 697 nt
Filed under: uncultured Enterococcus sp.
Lineage: Bacteria; Bacillati; Bacillota; Bacilli; Lactobacillales; Enterococcaceae
Description: bacterial SSU rRNA
Rfam family: Bacterial small subunit ribosomal RNA
Source: RNAcentral